This 2895-nucleotide ribosomal RNA is filed under the name Escherichia coli. RNAcentral describes it as "23S ribosomal RNA". It matches the Rfam family "Bacterial large subunit ribosomal RNA". Lineage: Bacteria; Pseudomonadati; Pseudomonadota; Gammaproteobacteria; Enterobacterales; Enterobacteriaceae. The record is from RNAcentral.
GGUUAAGCGACUAAGCGUACACGGUGGAUGCCCUGGCAGUCAGAGGCGAUGAAGGACGUGCUAAUCUGCGAUAAGCGUCGGUAAGGUGAUAUGAACCGUUAUAACCGGCGAUUUCCGAAUGGGGAAACCCAGUGUGAUUCGACACACUAUCAUUAACUGAAUCCAUAGGUUAAUGAGGCGAACCGGGGAACUGAAACAUCUAAGUACCCCGAGGAAAAGAAAUCAACCGAGAUUCCCCAGUAGCGGCGAGCGAACGGGGAGCAGCCCAGAGCCUGAAUCAGUGUGUGUGUUAGUGGAAGCGUCUGGAAAGGCGCGCGAUACAGGGUGACAGCCCUGUACACAAAAAUGCACAUACUGUGAGCUCGAUGAGUAGGGCGGGACACGUGGUAUCCUGUCUGAAUAUGGGGGACCAUCCUCCAAGGCUAAAUACUCCUGACUGACCGAUAGUGAACCAGUACCGUGAGGGAAAGGCGAAAAGAACCCCGGCGAGGGGAGUGAAAAAGAACCUGAAACCGUGUACGUACAAGCAGUGGGAGCCUCUUUAUGGGGUGACUGCGUACCUUUUGUAUAAUGGGUCAGCGACUUAUAUUCUGUAGCAAGGUUAACCGAAUAGGGGAGCCGAAGGGAAACCGAGUCUUAACUGGGCGUUAAGUUGCAGGGUAUAGACCCGAAACCCGGUGAUCUAGCCAUGGGCAGGUUGAAGGUUGGGUAACACUAACUGGAGGACCGAACCGACUAAUGUUGAAAAAUUAGCGGAUGACUUGUGGCUGGGGUGAAAGGCCAAUCAAACCGGGAGAUAGCUGGUUCUCCCCGAAAGCUAUUUAGGUAGCGCCUCGUGAAUUCAUCUCCGGGGUAGAGCACUGUUUCGGCAAGGGGUCAUCCCGACUUACCAACCCGAUGCAAACUGCGAAUACCGGAGAAUGUUAUCACGGGAGACACACGGCGGGUGCUAACGUCCGUCGUGAAGAGGGAAACAACCCAGACCGCCAGCUAAGGUCCCAAAGUCAUGGUUAAGUGGGAAACGAUGUGGGAAGGCCCAGACAGCCAGGAUGUUGGCUUAGAAGCAGCCAUCAUUUAAAGAAAGCGUAAUAGCUCACUGGUCGAGUCGGCCUGCGCGGAAGAUGUAACGGGGCUAAACCAUGCACCGAAGCUGCGGCAGCGACACUAUGUGUUGUUGGGUAGGGAGCGUUCUGUAAGCCUGUGAAGGUGUGCUGUGAGGUAUGCUGGAGGUAUCAGAAGUGCGAAUGCUGACAUAAGUAACGAUAAAGCGGGUGAAAAGCCCGCUCGCCGGAAGACCAAGGGUUCCUGUCCAACGUUAAUCGGGGCAGGGUGAGUCGACCCCUAAGGCGAGGCCGAAAGGCGUAGUCGAUGGGAAACAGGUUAAUAUUCCUGUACUUGGUGUUACUGCGAAGGGGGACGGAGAAGGCUAUGUUGGCCGGGCGACGGUUGUCCCGGUUUAAGCGUGUAGGCUGGUUUUCCAGGCAAAUCCGGAAAAUCAAGGCUGAGGCGUGAUGACGAGGCACUACGGUGCUGAAGCAACAAAUGCCCUGCUUCCAGGAAAAGCCUCUAAGCAUCAGGUAACAUCAAAUCGUACCCCAAACCGACACAGGUGGUCAGGUAGAGAAUACCAAGGCGCUUGAGAGAACUCGGGUGAAGGAACUAGGCAAAAUGGUGCCGUAACUUCGGGAGAAGGCACGCUGAUAUGUAGGUGAAGUCCCUUGCGGAUGGAGCUGAAAUCAGUCGAAGAUACCAGCUGGCUGCAACUGUUUAUUAAAAACACAGCACUGUGCAAACACGAAAGUGGACGUAUACGGUGUGACGCCUGCCCGGUGCCGGAAGGUUAAUUGAUGGGGUUAGCGGUAACGCGAAGCUCUUGAUCGAAGCCCCGGUAAACGGCGGCCGUAACUAUAACGGUCCUAAGGUAGCGAAAUUCCUUGUCGGGUAAGUUCCGACCUGCACGAAUGGCGUAAUGAUGGCCAGGCUGUCUCCACCCGAGACUCAGUGAAAUUGAACUCGCUGUGAAGAUGCAGUGUACCCGCGGCAAGACGGAAAGACCCCGUGAACCUUUACUAUAGCUUGACACUGAACAUUGAGCCUUGAUGUGUAGGAUAGGUGGGAGGCUUUGAAGUGUGGACGCCAGUCUGCAUGGAGCCGACCUUGAAAUACCACCCUUUAAUGUUUGAUGUUCUAACGUUGGCCCCUGAUCGGGGUUGCGGACAGUGUCUGGUGGGUAGUUUGACUGGGGCGGUCUCCUCCUAAAGAGUAACGGAGGAGCACGAAGGUUGGCUAAUCCUGGUCGGACAUCAGGAGGUUAGUGCAAUGGCAUAAGCCAGCUUGACUGCGAGCGUGACGGCGCGAGCAGGUGCGAAAGCAGGUCAUAGUGAUCCGGUGGUUCUGAAUGGAAGGGCCAUCGCUCAACGGAUAAAAGGUACUCCGGGGAUAACAGGCUGAUACCGCCCAAGAGUUCAUAUCGACGGCGGUGUUUGGCACCUCGAUGUCGGCUCAUCACAUCCUGGGGCUGAAGUAGGUCCCAAGGGUAUGGCUGUUCGCCAUUUAAAGUGGUACGCGAGCUGGGUUUAGAACGUCGUGAGACAGUUCGGUCCCUAUCCGCCGUGGGCGCUGGAGAACUGAGGGGGCUGCUCCUAGUACGAGAGGACCGGAGUGGACGCAUCACUGGUGUUCGGGUUGUCAUGCCAAUGGCACUGCCCGGUAGCUAAAUGCGGAAGAGAUAAGUGCUGAAAGCAUCUAAGCACGAAACUUGCCCCGAGAUGAGUUCUCCCUGACUCCUUGAGAGUCCUGAAGGAACGUUGAAGACGACGACGUUGAUAGGCCGGGUGUGUAAGCGCAGCGAUGCGUUGAGCUAACCGGUACUAAUGAACCGUGAGGCUUAACCUU